UUUCCGUAGGUGAACCUGCGGAAGGAUCAUUACCGAAUUGUCAAACGGGUUGUUGCUGGUCUUCAAACGGGGACAUGUGCACGCUCUGUUUACACAUCCACUCGCACCUGUGCACCCUCCGUAGUUCUAUGGUCUGGGGGACCCUGUCUUCCUGCCGUGGUUCUACGUCUUUACACACACUCUGUAAUAAAGUCUUAUGGAAUGUAUGCCGCGUCUAACGCAAUACAAUACAACUUUCAGCAACGGAUCUCUUGGCUCUC
Molecule: unclassified non-coding RNA, 260 nt
Filed under: plant metagenome
Description: partial contains small subunit ribosomal RNA, internal transcribed spacer 1, and 5.8S ribosomal RNA
Source: RNAcentral